CCUACGGGUGGCAGCAGUGAGGAAUAUUGGUCAAUGGACGGAAGUCUGAACCAGCCAUGCCGCGUGCAGGAAGACGGCUCUAUGAGUUGUACACUGCUUUUGUACAGGGGUAAACCUGCCUACGUGUAUUCAGCCGAAAGGACUGUGCGAAUAAGGCUCGGCUAACUCCGGGCCAGCAGCCGCGGUAAUACGGAGGAUGCAGGCGUUAUCCGGAUUUAUUGGGUUUAAAGGGUGCGGAGGCGGAAUGAUAAGUUAGAGGUGAAAUGGCCGGGCUUAAACCGGGAACUGCCUUUAAUACUGUUGUCCUAGGGAGUAGAGGAGGAAGGUGGAAGGUAUGGGGUAGCGGUGAAAUGCUUAGAGA
This 361-nucleotide ribosomal RNA is filed under the name uncultured bacterium. RNAcentral describes it as "partial 16S ribosomal RNA". It matches the Rfam family "Bacterial small subunit ribosomal RNA", at positions 338 to 696 of the family's 1533-position model. The record is from RNAcentral.